Molecule: ribosomal RNA, 840 nt
Filed under: Phyllosticta hypoglossi
Lineage: Eukaryota; Fungi; Ascomycota; Dothideomycetes; Botryosphaeriales; Phyllostictaceae
Description: LSU rRNA
Rfam family: Eukaryotic large subunit ribosomal RNA
Source: RNAcentral
GGGAUUGCCUUAGUAACGGCGAGUGAAGCGGCAAUAGCUCAAAUUUGAAAGCUGGCACCUUCGGUGUCCGCGUUGUAAUUUGUAGAGGAUGCUUCGGCGAGGACUCCUGCCUAAGUUCCCUGGAAUGGGACGUCGCAGAGGGUGAGAAUCCCGUAUGUGGCGGGCGGUCCAAGCCAUGUGAAGCUCCUUCGACGAGUCGAGUUGUUUGGGAAUGCAGCUCUAAAUGGGAGGUAAAUUUCUUCUAAAGCUAAAUACCGGCCAGAGACCGAUAGCGCACAAGUAGAGUGAUCGAAAGAUGAAAAGCACUUUGGAAAGAGAGUUAAAAAGUACGUGAAAUUGUUGAAAGGGAAGCGCUUGCAACCAGACUCGCUCGCAGUUGCUCAGCCCGCCUCUUGGUGGGUGCACUCUUCUGCGAUCGGGCCAGCAUCAGUUCGGGCGGCUGGAUAAAGGUGUCGGGAAUGUAGCACCCUUCGGGGUGUGUUAUAGCCCGGCGCGGAAUGCAGCCAGCCUGGACUGAGGAUCUCGCUUCGGCAAGGAUGCUGGCAUAAUGGUUGUAAGCGGCCCGUCUUGAAACACGGACCAAGGAGUCUAACAUCUAUGCGAGUGUUUGGGUGUCAAACCCAUGCGCGUAAUGAAAGUGAACGGAGGUGGGAACCCGUAAGGGUGCACCAUCGACCGAUCCUGAUGUCUUCGGAUGGAUUUGAGUAAGAGCAUAGCUGUUGGGACCCGAAAGAUGGUGAACUAUGCCUGAAUAGGGUGAAGCCAGAGGAAACUCUGGUGGAGGCUCGCAGCGGUUCUGACGUGCAAAUCGAUCGUCAAAUUUGGGUAUAGGGGCGAAAG